Molecule: ribosomal RNA, 253 nt
Filed under: uncultured bacterium
Lineage: Bacteria
Description: partial 16S ribosomal RNA
Rfam family: Bacterial small subunit ribosomal RNA
Source: RNAcentral
UACGAAGGGGGCUAGCGUUGCUCGGAAUCACUGGGCGUAAAGGGCGCGUAGGUGGCGACCCAAGUCCAUGGUGAAAGCUCGAUGCUCAACAUCGAGUCGGCCACGGAUACUGGGUUGCUCGAGCACUGUAGAGGCUAAUGGAAUUCCGGGUGUAGCGGUGGAAUGCGUAGAGAUCCGGAAGAACACCGGUGGCGAAGGCGGUUAGCUGGGCAGUUGCUGACACUGAGGCGCGACAGCGUGGGGAGCAAACAGG